This 93-nucleotide ribosomal RNA is filed under the name uncultured bacterium. RNAcentral's name for it is "partial 16S ribosomal RNA". The record is from RNAcentral.
GGAUGAAGUCCCUUGGGAAUCGUUAAACGUCCUUUACGAUUCGGGACGAGUUAUGACGGUACCGGAAGAAGAAGCACCGGCCUAACUCUGUGC